This 29-nucleotide non-coding RNA is filed under the name Rattus norvegicus (Norway rat). The record is from RNAcentral. Lineage: Eukaryota; Metazoa; Chordata; Mammalia; Rodentia; Muridae.
UGGGUCCCGUGUGAUUGGUUUUAUAUAUA